Molecule: ribosomal RNA, 317 nt
Filed under: Bacillus sp. RN7.1
Lineage: Bacteria; Bacillati; Bacillota; Bacilli; Caryophanales; Bacillaceae
Description: bacterial SSU rRNA
Rfam family: Bacterial small subunit ribosomal RNA
Source: RNAcentral
GGAUUAAGAGCUUGCUCUUAUGAAGUUAGCGGCGGACGGGUGAGUAACACGUGGGUAACCUGCCCAUAAGACUGGGAUAACUCCGGGAAACCGGGGCUAAUACCGGAUAACAUUUUGAACCGCAUGGUUCGAAAUUGAAAGGCGGCUUCGGCUGUCACUUAUGGAUGGACCCGCGUCGCAUUAGCUAGUUGGUGAGGUAACGGCUCACCAAGGCAACGAUGCGUAGCCGACCUGAGAGGGUGAUCGGCCACACUGGGACUGAGACACGGCCCAGACUCCUACGGGAGGCAGCAGUGGUCUGCAUUUUUUUUCCUGGA